Non-coding RNA from Callithrix jacchus (white-tufted-ear marmoset), 2029 nucleotides. NCBI's taxonomy places the organism in Eukaryota, Metazoa, Chordata, Mammalia, Primates, Cebidae. The record is from RefSeq and is a predicted model, not a curated record.
CCUAGCAGGAGUCACAGGGCUAAUGGAAGCCCAGUGGGAGCCAAGGGAGCUCAGUGGAAGUCAGAGAGUCAAUGGGAAGCCCCAGGAGGAGUCAGCAAGAAGGCGAUAAAGAGUUCAGGGUGUUUCUCCCCUUGGCUCCUCCCUGGCUUGGCCCUGCUUUCUCUGCCCAGCUCUGGAGUAACUGGGAAGAUCUUCAAUGAUCCAUAUCCCUGAGAAUUCACCGCAGCAACACAGAGCAUGAGGUGCCCUCAUCCCUACAGCCGGCCCUGCAGGUGGCUGGGGGAGGAUGCUGGGCUGCUGAGCAUGGAGAGGAUCUAAACUCUGGACAGCUCCCUCAAGGCAGCCAAGAAGUGAUGGAGGAGCCUCUGCAACCCCCUCCUCACAACGCCUGCUGCCCACGUCUGCUGACUCACCCAGGAGGGUCUGGACAUGCCAGAAGAAAUCUGAAAUGGCUCUCUAGUGAAGCACAAGGCUUUGGAAGGGGAUGGAGACUUGGAGGCAGGAACUUCCUGGAUGCUUUCACAGCCUCUGGUCCGCUCGUCCCAAUCAGCCCUCAGGACUGCUAUUAUCUCACUCCUCAUUUUAAAACUAUCCAUGUCUCCCUACUGCUGACUGGUAAAGUCCCAACUUAGAGGCAUGCAGGGGUCUUCACCAUCCUUCUUGCCUCCCAGCUCAUCCUUCCACUCCUCAUUCUGUUCAUGGAGCUAUUGAGCCCCAACAGAAUCUUUGCUGUUUCCUGAAGGUUCCACACACCUUCCCAACUCCACUCCUUUGCUCAUGCGGCUCUGGCACUACCCAAGCCUGGCAGAUGGGCCUUGGGGGAGAAACCAUAGCCAGAAUGUACCAGAAUAGCUCUAGGGAACCUACACACUACAAGAUGAGCUGCCCUGUCAGCCAAGAGGACCAACUGAAACAAUGUGUCCCGGGAAGUGUGGCAGGAGCAGCCGUGAAGGGAUGGUGCUCUGCUCCGAGAUUCUGGACUUGGGAAAAUAAUAAAAAUGUAAUGCAGAAUCCCACAGCAAAAAUUCCAAAGAACUGGAAAGAGGUCCCCUUGAUUCAUGGUUGAUUGGCCUAUAUAUUCACCUCCAUGCUUCUUUGGGAGGUGGGAUACAGGGAUUGGGGGGAUAUUGGCCCCAGACUCCUGGCUUCCUCUUCUUCACAAGGGCAGGCACAAACCGGGGUUCAUGUCUGUAUCUGCUACCUUGUGGCCUAUGAGACCUGACAGUUAUCCUCCCUUGAGUGAGUCCGUUCUAUAAAAGGGAGACAGAGCCAGAUGCUGUGGCUCACGCCUAUAAUCCCAGCAUUUUGGGAGGCCCACGUGGGAGGAUCACUUGAGCCCAGAAGUUAGAGACCAGACUUGGUAACAAAAUGAGUCUCUUUCUCAACAAAAAAUAAAAUAAAAAUAGUCAGGUGCGGUGGCGUGUGCCUGUAAUCCCAGCUAUUUGGGAACCUGAGGCAGGAAGACUGCUUGAGCCCAGGAGUUUAAGGCUGCAGUGAACUAUGAUUGCACCACUGUACUCCAAUCUGUCUCAAUAAAUAAAUAUAUAAGGCAGACUACACUAUGUUGGAUAAUUAAACACAACUACCUGGCACACAGUAGGUUCUCAAUAACCAGCAGAUGACAUUUACAUUUUCCUGUUCCUAAGGUCUGAUGUGGGGGUUGCUUCACAGGGCUUGAGUCCUGCCUUGGACCCUGGUCCAGGGCUGAGCAGGAGGCACCAGGUGUCCUUGGUGAGGGUGCUAAGGACACUGUGGAUGGUUCUUUUCCCCCAGAGACCUGAAGGACCUCCUGUGAGCUGUUUCAAAGAAGACACACUCACUCAGUCAACGCUGUGUUCCAGGAUCCUCACAGCUUGGGUGGAAGAUACAUUUAUCUAAUAUCACAUGCCCUCUUGAGCAGAGAGUGCAACAUUCACCCAGCCCUUCAGUAGCCUGGCGCUGGCACCACAGGCCCAUGGCCAGUCACCCUAGCCUCUCUGAGCAGGGUCCUUGUGGCAUGGGGAGAAGGACUCCACUCUGAGGACCUGGU